RNAcentral lists this ribosomal RNA (301 nucleotides) under uncultured bacterium. RNAcentral's name for it is "partial 16S ribosomal RNA". It matches the Rfam family "Bacterial small subunit ribosomal RNA", at positions 509 to 807 of the family's 1533-position model. The record is from RNAcentral.
CAGUCGCCGCGGGAAUACGUAGGUGGCAAGCGUUGUCCGGAAUUGUUGGGCGUAAAGGGCUCGCAGGCGGUUUCUUAAGUCUGAUGUGAAAGCCCCCGGCUCAACCGGGGAGGGUCAUUGGAAACUGGGAAACUUGAGUGCAGAAGAGGAGAGUGGAAUUCCACGUGUAGCGGUGAAAUGCGUAGAGAUGUGGAGGAACACCAGUGGCGAAGGCGACUCUCUGGUCUGUAACUGACGCUGAGGAGCGGAAGCGUGGGGAGCGAACAGGAUUAGAUACCCCUGUAGUCCCUGUCUCUUAUAC